UUUUUUUCUUUUUUUUUUUUUUUUCCAUUUCUUGGACCACUCCUGCAGCAUAUGGAAGUUCCCAGGCUAGGGGUCAAAUCGGAGCUGUAGCUGCUGGUCUACACCACAGCCACAGCUACAUGGGAUCUGAGCCCACGUCUGCAACCUAUGCUACAGCUCAUGGCAACACCAGAUCCUUAACCCACUGAGCAAGGGCAGGGAUCGAACCCGCAACCUCAUGGUUCCUAGUGGGAUUCGUUAACCACUGAGCCACGAUGGGAACUCCAUUGUUUUCUAUUUUAAUGACUACUAUUUAACUACUACUUGUCUGAGCGUCAUAAUUUAGGUGCUAACCUGAAGUUUAAAUUCAGAAUAUUAUUAAUAUAUUUAAAUGCAUUUUUAUUCUAUCCCAUAAGUUAUAAAAUGAAUCAAUGAAUCAUUAUAAUUCAUCUUGUUACCUUCUUUCCUUGAUACCUAUUCUAAUUCCUUGUUAGGGCUGAGGAUUAGAAAGUUUUUGUUUCAACAUUUGCCAUGGCUUCAUUUCACUCAUCUGCUUUGCGGAUUCCUUUUGCUUUUAGACACUUAGUUCAGAAAUGCAAAUAAACAGAAACUGUUAUAUUCAUAUUCUGUGAGUAUUCAAAAAUAGAUUAAUGGAAAAACUGAAUGAUGUCCCCUAAGAUGGUGAGCAAGGCAAGGAUACCUCUUCUCAUUUCUCACUCAGCACAGUACUGGAUACUCUAAUCACUGCAGAAAGUUAAGAAAAUGAAAUAAAGUCAUACAUAGGAAAAGCAGAAGAUAUAACAUUGUCUCUAUUUGUAAAUGCUGGGGUUAUCUACAUAGCAAUCCCAAGGAAUCCACAAAAAUACUCCUUGAAGUAACAAGUGAGUUCAGCAAAGUUGUAGGACACAAGAGCAAUACACAUUGCUCUAUACUACAAGUGUGCAAAAGCCAAAAUUAAGGAUUCAGUAUCAUUUAUAAUUGUUUCAAAUAAAUAAAAUAUUAGGUAGAAAUUUUAAAAGUACAUGAAAAUUACAAAAUGCAAUGAAAGAAAUCCCAGAAGACCUUAAUAAAUGCAGGGGUAUACUAUAUUCAUGAAUUGGAAAAUUCAGCAUAGCUUUGAUAUAAUGCUUAUAAAAAUUAUAACAAGGCUUUUUUAGACACAGCCAUGCUUGUUCUAAAAUUUGUAUGGAAAGGCAUAGGGAUUAGAAUAACUAAAACAAUCUUAGAAAAGAAUGAAGUGAGAGAAAUCACUCUAUCUGAUAUUAAGACUUAAUAAUAACUAUAGAAAUCUAGACUGUGAUAUUGAGAGGGAGGAAUAGACAUAUAAAUCUAUGAAAAAGAAAGAGAACACAGAAAAAGACCCACAAAAAUAUGCCAAACUGAUUUUUGGAAAAACUGAGAAACAAUUCAAUGAAUGAACAUAACUUUCUCAAAAAAUGGUGCUUGAGGAAUUGAACUAUGAAUAUAGGCAAAGAAAUGAAUCUCAACUUAAAACUCAUACCAAAAAUUACAUCAAAAUGGACCAUGGACUAAAAUGUAAGAUUGAAAACUAUAAAACUUUUAUAAAAAUUGAGUGAAAAUCUGGGAAUCUGAGCUAGGUGGAGAGGUAUUACACUUGCUAUCCAAGCAUGAACCAUAAAAGGAAGGUUUGGUACACCUAUCUAAUCAAAAUUUUAAAGAUUGCUCUGCAGAGGACACUGUUAAGAGGAUGAAAAAAUAAAUAAGACUAUGAAGAAAAAUUACAAACUGCAUACCUGACAAAACUGGAAUAUGAAAUAUAUUUUAAAAAAAUCUUUCAAAACUCAGCAGUAAAAACACAAACAAUUCAAUUGGGACACAGGCAAAAUCAGUGAACAAACAUUUCAAUGAAUAGGAUUUAUAGAAGGCAAUAAACACAUAAAAAGAUAUUCAAUAUCCUUAGCCAUUAGGAAAAUGCAAAUUAAAAGCUGGUGGGGAUGCAGUCAUAUAUUUCCACUUAUGCAUCUAUGGUUACAAAGUGGUACAGUCACUCUGGAAAAAAUUAUUUUUCUUGUAUAACCAAACAUACAGUUACCAUACAGCUUAGCUAGUGCACUCUUAGGCAUUUAUCCUAGAGAAAUAAAAACUUACAUUUGCACCAAAAUAUUUAUAGAAAUGUUUACAGCCACUUAAUUUGUAAUAUCUCCAAAUUGGAAACAAGAUUCAUUUUCAAUGGGUGAAGGGUUAAACAGACUGUGUUACAUCCAUAUAAUGGAAUACUAUUCUGUAAUGAAAAUGAAUAAUAUAGUGAUGGAUACAACAAAUUGAACGAAUGUCCAGGGAAUAAUAUUGGUGCAAAAGGCCAACUCUCAAAAGUUACAUCAUGUGUGAUUCCUUUUAUAAAAAAGUAAUUGAUACCAAUUUAGAAAUUUAGAGCAGAUUAGUGCUUCCCAGAACUUAGGACCAGGAGGAGGGAAGAGAGUGGGGCAGGCAGGAGGUGGACAGGGUUAUGCAAGGACAAUAGAAGGGAUCCUUGUGACAAUGGAACUGUUCUCAAUGUGUUCUUAAAUGUGGUGGUGGAUACAUUAUGCUAUAGAUAUAAAAUUGUAUAGAACUAAGUACACACUCAUGCACCCAUAUACACAUAACAGUAAAACUGUGGAAAUUCGAAUAAGGCUGGCAUAUUAAAAUCAAUACUUGUUUUAUGUUGUACUGCAGUGUUGCAAGAUGGUACUAUUUGAGGAAACUAGGUAAAUGGUGCACAGGAUAUCUCUGUAUUAUUUCUUACAACUCCUUAUACUUCUAAAAUCAAUAUCAUUAGCCAUUAGGAAAAUGCAAAUUAAAAGCUGGUGGGGAUGCAGUCAUAUAUUUCCACUUAUGCCUCUAUGGUUACAAAGUGGUACAGUCACUCUGGAAAAAAUUAUUUUUAUCAUUGUAGAAGUAUAAGGAGUUGUAAGAAAUAAAAAGUAUGAUUAAAAAGUUACAGAAAGAAAAAACUUAACUUUUUAAGAAGUUUAAUUUUUUUAUGAGUUAAGAAAUAAUAGUCCCAGAAACAACAACAGUAAGAAAACAGAUUAAUGAUAUGCUAGAUACAAUUUUGAACUCCUGAAUAUAAUAAUAAAAAUAUUGACUUAUGGUCCUUUUUGUUUAUAAAGCAUUUAUAUACAGAAUUUCAUUUUAAUUUUUAUAACAGCUCUAAAAAGUUGUAUGGAUUUUUUUCAUUAAAACAGAACACUGGAGAGCUUAAGGUCAAGAAUCUUUUUGGUCCAAAACCAAAAUGUAAGAGCUGAGAUUUAAUCCUCAGAAUUUCGGUACAUAUAUUCUGCCUAGAAUAAAAGGGAGGUUUUUCCACUUCAAAUUUAAUUGCUUUUAAACCAAGAGGAUAGACAUUAAAAAUAAAUUGAAAUCUAUGAAAUACAGUAACUACUAAAUAAAUUUAGAUAUGAAGGUCCUCCUACAAAAAGUAUAUAUUAAGUUCCUUUUACAAAGACAUCAGAUAUCUAUUACAUUUUAUGUUGAUGUUGUAAGCAAGCCAAAAAAUAAGUACAGAGUGACUUAAAUUAUAAGGUACUCUAGGUAAAGAAAGUUAACUUCAACAAAAAUAUCUUUCUACCAUUCUCCCUUUAUUUUUAAAAUUCUAUUUAUUUUUUUGAUUAUAACACUGAAGUGCCUUCCAAGAAAAUAAUGUACUCAGAAGUGUUACCUAUCUCUUAUGUAUUUAUCACAUAGGAAGGGUAAUAGGACAAACCAGCAAUUAAUGAAUAUUCUCAGAAGGAUUUUGUGAUACAAAAAAUGUAGGAUCUUAAAUAAAUGAUUCAUAGGACUGAUGAGUUUGCUUUAAAGAAGGAUCUAAAACAUGUCCUAGAUCAGAAAGCAGAAGUGGAAUGGAUCAAUGUGAAGACUUCAGAUCUUUGAUCCUCAAAAUGUUUUCCUAAACUCUAAAGUUCUAGGUCUUGGAAUGGAUUAGCAAUGAGAUCCUGCUGUGUAGCACUGGAAACUAUGUCUGGUCACUUAUGAUGGAGCAUGAUAAUGUGAGCAAAAAGAAUGUAUACAUGUAUGUGUAACUGGGUCACCAUGCUGUACAGCAGAAAAAAAAAAUGUAUUGGAGAAAUAAAAAAAAAAAAACAGUAAAAAAAUAAAAUUCUAGGUCAUUCAUUUGAUCCAAUAGGUAAAUAAAGAAAAAUUCCCUAGAAUUUCAUUUGUACUAUGAAGGGUAACGUUUUGUUUGGUUUUGUUUUUUGCUUUUUAGGGCCACACCCACAGCAUGCGGAAGUUCCCAGGCUAGGAGUUAAGUCAGAACUAUGGCUGCUGGCCUACGCCACAGCCAUGGCAACACGAGAUCCUUAACCCACUGAAUGAGGCCAGGGAUUGAACCCAAAUCCUCAUGACUGUCAGUUGGAUUUGUUUCCCUUGAGCCACAGCAAAGGGAACUCCCAGGUAAUGUAUUUUUAAAGGCAAUUAAGAGAGACAUGUUUACCUCAGGAAGAUAAUUACUGGUCUUCGGGAUAGGAUUAUUAAAUUAUUUUGCAGAGUUCCUACUAUGGACACUCACAGAUCAUGGGAAUUAAUGUUUUUCUGGAUGCACACAGUGGUGUCAUGCAUGGAUCACUUUAAUUUUCAGUUGAUUAGGGUCCUUUAUUUCUUACAAACAUAUGUUUGUGUGUGUGUGUGGUGUGUUACAGUGAGCUUAGCUUCUUCAUUAUCAGUUUAAUUUACUAUGAAUUGCUGUUUAUAUGUCGAAGGAGAGUAAGAACUAUCUAUUUUUUGCUUUAUAGUAAUCAAAAUUUAAGAUGUAUACAUUGUAAUUAAAAUAUGAAUCUUUUCAUAUCUGCUGCUAAGGCAAAUAGAUAACACCAUCUCUUCCUUCCUCUGAAUUUGAGUCAUUUAAUUUAAAAUAUACUAUAAAAAUAAGUAAAAUAAAAUUAUUGAGUUACUUUAAAAAUGUUUAUAGGAUAUUACCUCACGAGAAAUAAAAAUCAUGUAUAUAAGCCCAAAUUCUUCCCUUGUAAACUGAGUUAUUACUAAGUAAAUAAACAAACAAAACAUUGGAAUACAUUGUAAGGAAAAAGUUUGUUGCAACCUAUUUAUUUUAUCCUUCUUUUUACUGGAAAACAACAUGUGGGGCAGGCAGAUCUCAGGA
This 5077-nucleotide long non-coding RNA is filed under the name Sus scrofa (pig). RNAcentral describes it as "lncRNA (ENSSSCG00015064016.1)". The record is from RNAcentral. Lineage: Eukaryota; Metazoa; Chordata; Mammalia; Artiodactyla; Suidae.